AAAAUAUGAAAACCCACUCGUGGUGACCUUUGUCCCCACGAGUAUAAUCUAUAUACCACAUCUUGUGAACCGUACCGUCUUUGGUGGUGGGGUGGACGCUGCGGUCCGCAGCGCGCCAUCUGUCAGCUUGGAUCGAAAGCUCCGGGCCGUGGACAAGCCACCGCAUGUAUUCAAACCUUUGCUUGCUGUUUUUGUCUGACGAUUCAUUCUGUAUUAAAUAUACAAA
Molecule: unclassified non-coding RNA, 226 nt
Filed under: soil metagenome
Description: partial internal transcribed spacer 1
Source: RNAcentral